This 529-nucleotide long non-coding RNA is filed under the name Helicoverpa zea (corn earworm). RNAcentral's name for it is "uncharacterized LOC124644998". The record is from RNAcentral. Lineage: Eukaryota; Metazoa; Arthropoda; Insecta; Lepidoptera; Noctuidae.
ACAUUUGGGAGUAGAUAUAACUUUCUAUAUGAAAUGUCAAAUACUCUACAUCUCAUCGGACCUAGACAAGAGUAGACAAGAAUAUUAUUAUAAUUUUAAGUUCUCAAAUAGCAUUUACAAAGUAUUUCGGGGUCCUACCGUCGUCAUGUGGUCAGUAUUUAUGCUGAGAAGAAUCAGUGUAAAGCUCAAAGAACGAGCUAUACGAGUGUUAAGCCUCUCGACAUCGAAAACGUAAAUGUGCAGAGAUGGUGAAGUAUUUGUGCCAGGAAUCUGUCUCCUAUAUCUCAGGGUCUGCCUGUUCUUGUCAAUGUUCUUUGCUCGGGUUCUGCUUAGGUCAUUAACAACAUUACUAACCACUGUUAGCAAAUUUUUUAAACAAUUUGUUUUUGCAGUGAAUACAAGGUUAGUAUACCUAAUAUUAGAUAUGACCUCUAUUUCAGAUUGUAGAUACUGAGUGCAAAAUCCUGAACAUAAAUGCCAAUUAUCGUGACAGAGUUCAUAAACAAUCAAUUUUCAAUAGUUCUCUCAU